GCUGGCGGCGUGCUUAACACAUGCAAGUCUACGAGAAAGUUUUCUUCGGAAAGCGAUUAAAGUGGCGCACGGGUGAGUAACACGUAAGUAAUCUACCUUUAGGUCUGGAAUAACUUCGAGAAAUCGAAGCUAAUACCGGAUGAUGCAGCGGCACCACAUGGUGAUGUUGUUAAAGUCUAUAUGGCGCCUAUCGAUGAGCUUGCGUCUGAUUAGUUAGUUGGUGAGGUAAAAGCUCACCAAGACUGCGAUCAGUAGCUGGUCUGAGAGGAUGAUCAGCCACACUGGAACUGAGACACGGUCCAGACUCCUACGGGAGGCAGCAGUGAGGAAUAUUGGGCAAUGGGCGAAAGCCUGACCCAGCAACGCCGCGUGGAGGAUGAAUGUCGUAAGAUUGUAAACUCCUGUUAGAGGGGAAGAAUAAUCCCGAUCAAAUCGGGACUUGACUGUACCCUCAGAGAAAGCUCCGGCUAACUACGUGCCAGCAGCCGCGGUAAUACGUAGGGAGCGAGCGUUGUCCGGAUUUACUGGGUGUAAAGGGCGCGCAGGCGGGUUAGUAAGUCAGAGGUGAAAUCCUACAGCUUAACUGUAGAACUGCCUUUGAUACUGCUAAUCUUGAGUAUGGAAGAGAGAGACGGAAUU
RNAcentral lists this ribosomal RNA (639 nucleotides) under uncultured bacterium. Its description in RNAcentral is "bacterial SSU rRNA". It matches the Rfam family "Bacterial small subunit ribosomal RNA", at positions 35 to 668 of the family's 1533-position model. The record is from RNAcentral.